CAGCCCCCUACACACCUUGAUCCUCAAGAUCAUUUGUAGCUGGUAAUUUGUUAGAUGAUGGUUGGGAGUUGUGCUGUGAAUUUGGUCCUGCUGGUGCAACUCUAUCUCCUUCAAUUAGUGAUCUCCUCCGAUACGUCUCGAGUGUUGAGGGAUCAAACCCUAACUUGCUUAGAAAAAGUUGGCUAUCAAAAUUCUUCUGAAUGGUACUUGGAGCACCAUGUUGAAGAAUGCGUAAUUCAGAUGUUUUGAAUAAAGAGAAGAAGAUGGUGAAAAUGAGUAGCGUUAGCGGUAUCCACUUAGCUGUUAAAUUAGCCAUGCACUCUUAAUUUAAUUAGGAAUAUAUAUAUAAUUAAGAAGUUGUAAUCUGAGAAAAUAAAUUGUAGUAGUGACUUUAAUUGCAUGGUAACUAAUUGCUUAUGUUCUUCCUAUUUAUAGGGCUUAAUUCGAA
Molecule: long non-coding RNA, 448 nt
Filed under: Panax ginseng (ginseng)
Lineage: Eukaryota; Viridiplantae; Streptophyta; Magnoliopsida; Apiales; Araliaceae
Description: long non-coding RNA (PGIN_LNC011054)
Source: RNAcentral